This 623-nucleotide ribosomal RNA is filed under the name Penicillium sp. FB-6. RNAcentral's name for it is "eukaryotic LSU rRNA". The stretch from base 212 to 364 matches the Rfam family "5.8S ribosomal RNA". The record is from RNAcentral. Lineage: Eukaryota; Fungi; Ascomycota; Eurotiomycetes; Eurotiales; Aspergillaceae.
AUCCUUCCGUAGGUUCACCUGCGGAAGGAUCAUUACCGAGUGAGGGCCCUCUGGGUCCAACCUCCCACCCGUGUUUAUUUUACCUUGUUGCUUCGGCGGGCCCGCCUUAACUGGCCGCCGGGGGGCUUACGCCCCCGGGCCCGCGCCCGCCGAAGACACCCUCGAACUCUGUCUGAAGAUUGUAGUCUGAGUGAAAAUAUAAAUUAUUUAAAACUUUCAACAACGGAUCUCUUGGUUCCGGCAUCGAUGAAGAACGCAGCGAAAUGCGAUACGUAAUGUGAAUUGCAAAUUCAGUGAAUCAUCGAGUCUUUGAACGCACAUUGCGCCCCCUGGUAUUCCGGGGGGCAUGCCUGUCCGAGCGUCAUUUCUGCCCUCAAGCACGGCUUGUGUGUUGGGCCCCGUCCUCCGAUCCCGGGGGACGGGCCCGAAAGGCAGCGGCGGCACCGCGUCCGGUCCUCGAGCGUAUGGGGCUUUGUCACCCGCUCUGUAGGCCCGGCCGGCGCUUGCCGAUCAACCCAAAUUUUUAUCCAGGUUGACCUCGGAUCAGGUAGGGAUACCCGCUGAACUUAAGCAUAUCAAUAAGCGGAGGAAUCCAUGAACCUUGAAUCUACAACUGGGCUCCC